Molecule: non-coding RNA, 317 nt
Organism: Sus scrofa (pig)
Lineage: Eukaryota; Metazoa; Chordata; Mammalia; Artiodactyla; Suidae
Source: RefSeq, a predicted model, not a curated record
GUUUAGAGCCAGCGGCAGGCAGGGGCGGUGGGCACGCGGGCUCCCAUCCGCGCGGCUAUUGGAAGCAGGUUUCCCUCACCCCUGCCAGGAAGCCAACCACAGCGCUUCUCAACUCGCCCAAUACGCGUUUCUGGAGUCCUCUGAACAGCUGGCGGGAACGUUUAGCACGCGGGACUGGACAUUCGCUUUCGCUUGUUUUUCCAACCAGCAGAAGCAGACAAUCCGAAGUCAACCGAUUGUAUUGAAAUCUAAAGUCUGGAGCACCAACGGCCCGGCCUGACGUCUACUGCUGAAGCUGGGGGAUGGGGUGGGAUGGA